GGCAAAAACUCAAAGUGAAGUAGUUUAGUAGGGUCAGGUGAUCCUUCUAAUCUACUCUUCUUCAAGUUUGUGCCC
Molecule: non-coding RNA, 75 nt
Organism: Haemonchus placei
Lineage: Eukaryota; Metazoa; Nematoda; Chromadorea; Rhabditida; Trichostrongylidae
Source: Rfam